ACCUUUCCAUCCUGGGCAUUGG
Molecule: microRNA, 22 nt
Filed under: Monodelphis domestica (gray short-tailed opossum)
Lineage: Eukaryota; Metazoa; Chordata; Mammalia; Didelphimorphia; Didelphidae
Description: mdo-miR-1545b-3p
Source: miRBase by way of RNAcentral